Molecule: transfer RNA, 76 nt
Filed under: Pseudomonadota bacterium
Lineage: Bacteria; Pseudomonadati; Pseudomonadota
Also listed under: 3 other names
Description: Proteobacteria bacterium (wastewater metagenome) tRNA-Thr
Rfam family: tRNA
About the family: Transfer RNA (tRNA) molecules are approximately 80 nucleotides in length. Their secondary structure includes four short double-helical elements and three loops (D, anti-codon, and T loops). Further hydrogen bonds mediate the characteristic L-shaped molecular structure. tRNAs have two regions of fundamental functional importance: the anti-codon, which is responsible for specific mRNA codon recognition, and the 3' end, to which the tRNAs corresponding amino acid is attached (by aminoacyl-tRNA synthetases). tRNAs cope with the degeneracy of the genetic code in two manners: having more than one tRNA (with a specific anti-codon) for a particular amino acid; and 'wobble' base-pairing, i.e. permitting non-standard base-pairing at the 3rd anti-codon position.
Source: RNAcentral
GCUGGCGUAGCUCAAUUGGUAGAGCAACUGACUUGUAAUCAGUAGGUUGCGGGUUCAAGUCCCAUCGCCAGCUCCA